UUCUAGCCCAGAUAGAAGUGGAAAUCCUUUUUUAUCCGCUUUUUAGCGGGAAAAAAGAUUGUAACGAAUAGCUGGAAAUAGC
Flavobacterium frigoris is the source of this 82-nucleotide non-coding RNA. Lineage: Bacteria; Pseudomonadati; Bacteroidota; Flavobacteriia; Flavobacteriales; Flavobacteriaceae. The record is from Rfam.